CAUUGCGUAUUGGAAAUGGUGUGCUGCCUAGCUACCAAAUCGCCAACAAAGAGACCAAGUACUGGUUCUACCCACGAAACAGACUUGCGAGCGUUUCAAUAAGCCUUGGACUUUUGAUGCAAUUAAGCUCAAAUAAAUAGGUCUACAAUAAACUACCAAUUAUUUCAUAGUUUCUUAGUCAUUUUUCUGUUUUGAAAACUAAUUACUAAGCUUUCUUUUUUGUAUACAUGUAGGUGACUUACGUAAUUCUUGAAAAUUAUGUUAUUGCCAACAUGAGAACAAAUAAAAAUACGCUAACUCACUAACAUUUCCAGCAUCACUAGCAACUUACAUUAAAUUGGAUAAAUAAAUGGGAGAAAAAUCAGGUAAUAUUAAGUGUUCUCCGGAAGCACCGGCAGCUGGGGAUUUCAUUAUUUCUAGAUGCCGACUACUUUAAAGGGAUCUUUUCACGCUUUGGUAAAUUGACAAAAUUGAAAAAAGUUGUUUCAGAUUCGCAAAUUUUCGUUAUAGUUAUGAUAUUUGUGAGGAAACAGUAAUACUGAACAUUUAUCAUGGUCUAAUAUAGCCAUUAUAUGCAUCUUUUGACGAUUUUAAAACCUAAAAAUUAUAAAGCGUUGCAACGCGAAACGAUUGAAUAAUUUGGAGAGUUCUGUUUUUGUCGUGAAAUUUUGUGAAACUACGAAGAUUGCUUAUAUAACGUAUAAAAUACAUCAUGUAUAUGUACACGGCGGAAUAGCUCAGUAGGCUAAAGCGUUUUUACUUCAGGACUCUGGCAGGGCUGCAGGGGUCACUGGUUCGAAACCUGGUCCGGGCAAUGUUCUUUUCCUUUUUUUAAUUUUAUUCUUGAUUUUUUACUGGAGCUUUUACGAUCCAAUGUUUACAUUUAUCGAUAUAAAGCAUUUAAUGAAUCAGUUAAAAAAUGCCAAAAUCUGUGAAAAGGCCCCUUUAAAAUAUCAAUUGAAAUAGUGGACAUACACCAGUUUUAUUGCUUAGAUGCCGGCUACUUUAAAAAUAUAACUGGCUUCUGAAAUUUUUCUGAACACUGUAAUAUUGCUUCAGGUAGUAUUCAACCAAUAUUAAACAUUACAGAUUAGAAACAUAGAAUCAGUUUAGUUAGUAAAUACUGUAAAAUCAUGUAUAUUUUUCGGCGUGAAAUUUAGUGUUUUUUACAAAUGACCAAAACUAUUUUUGAUAUAAGAUUCUGAAAAUAAAGAGAAAUUUUCCAGGUAAUUUUCAGAAAUGUUUGUUUUAAAUAUGUGGACAGGUCAACUUGAGAAAUCAACGAAAAUUAAUGUCCAACAAAUAAUAAUGAUUUUACAGUAUUAAACAAAACACAAUGCUAAUUUGAAGAAUUGGAAAGCGGAUGAUUGUUGUCAAGGGAUUAUUGCAGAGGGAUUGUUGUCAAGGGAUUGUUGCAGGUUCUCAAGGGAGUAUUGCUGGGGGGGGGAUUGUUUUGCAGACACCCUUGUCUCUUUACUGGCAAGCUGCUUUGGAAGGGGUCUACAAAGGAAAGAUCUAUAGUAACAGAGCACUGAUUUAUGCUCCUUAUUUCUGUCACCCCCAUCCCUACUUUGGACAAGUCAAAACAAAACACAGAUAUCGGAGAUACAUGUGAACCAUGUAUUGAUAAUGAAGACCAACGUCAAAAACCAAGUCAAACAACUGCAUGGACCAGAAUGUCUUUAGGAAGUAUUCAGGGGAGAUAAACAACUAAAAUGUCUAAUUGAAGAACAUGGAAUAUUGAAUACCUUUUGGUAAAAUCCUCUGCAACAACGACUCCUCAGAUUUUUUGACUGGUUUCUCAUUGUUAUUUGUGUUCUGACAGUCAACAGACGCGUGCGUGGCACAGUCUGUGUAGUACAUGAGCAGGACAACAUCAAGCAGGAACCAGACAAGGGAUGUGGCCAGGAUUAUCUUGCAGUACUGAAGUUUCAAUCGACUCACCAUGGUUAUUCUAGACGGUGGUUAAUUUUAGCCU
Dreissena polymorpha is the source of this 1978-nucleotide long non-coding RNA. RefSeq lists it as uncharacterized. Lineage: Eukaryota; Metazoa; Mollusca; Bivalvia; Myida; Dreissenidae. The transcript is spliced from 2 exons. The record is from RefSeq and is a predicted model, not a curated record.